AGUGAACGCUGGCGGUAGGCCUAACACAUGCAAGUCGAACGGCAGCACAGGAGAGCUUGCUCUCUGGGUGGCGAGUGGCGGACGGGUGAGGAAUACAUCGGAAUCUACUCUGUCGUGGGGGAUAACGUAGGGAAACUUACGCUAAUACCGCAUACGACCUACGGGUGAAAGCAGGGGAUCUUCGGACCUUGCGCGAUUGAAUGAGCCGAUGUCGGAUUAGCUAGUUGGCGGGGUAAAGGCCCACCAAGGCGACGAUCCGUAGCUGGUCUGAGAGGGUGAUCAGCCACACUGGAACUGAGAAACGGUCCAGACUCCUACGGGAGGCAGCAGGGGGGAAUAUUGGACAAUGGGCGCAAGCCUGAUCCAGCCAUACCGCGUGGGUGAAGAAGGCCUUCGGGUUGUAAAGCCCUUUUGUUGGGAAAGAAAUCCAGCUGGCUAAUACCCGGUUGGGAUGACGGUACCCAAAGAAUAAGCACCGGCUAACUUCGUGCCAGCAGCCGCCGUAA
RNAcentral lists this ribosomal RNA (506 nucleotides) under uncultured bacterium. RNAcentral's name for it is "partial 16S ribosomal RNA". It matches the Rfam family "Bacterial small subunit ribosomal RNA", at positions 29 to 523 of the family's 1533-position model. The record is from RNAcentral.